Molecule: ribosomal RNA, 849 nt
Filed under: Micrococcus luteus
Lineage: Bacteria; Bacillati; Actinomycetota; Actinomycetes; Micrococcales; Micrococcaceae
Description: bacterial SSU rRNA
Rfam family: Bacterial small subunit ribosomal RNA
Source: RNAcentral
GAUGAACGCUGGCGGCGUGCUUAACACAUGCAAGUCGAACGAUGAAGCCCAGCUUGCUGGGUGGAUUAGUGGCGAACGGGUGAGUAACACGUGAGUAACCUGCCCUUAACUCUGGGAUAAGCCUGGGAAACUGGGUCUAAUACCGGAUAGGAGCGUCCACCGCAUGGUGGGUGUUGGAAAGAUUUAUCGGUUUUGGAUGGACUCGCGGCCUAUCAGCUUGUUGGUGAGGUAAUGGCUCACCAAGGCGACGACGGGUAGCCGGCCUGAGAGGGUGACCGGCCACACUGGGACUGAGACACGGCCCAGACUCCUACGGGAGGCAGCAGUGGGGAAUAUUGCACAAUGGGCGCAAGCCUGAUGCAGCGACGCCGCGUGAGGGAUGACGGCCUUCGGGUUGUAAACCUCUUUCAGUAGGGAAGAAGCGAAAGUGACGGUACCUGCAGAAGAAGCACCGGCUAACUACGUGCCAGCAGCCGCGGUAAUACGUAGGGUGCGAGCGUUAUCCGGAAUUAUUGGGCGUAAAGAGCUCGUAGGCGGUUUGUCGCGUCUGUCGUGAAAGUCCGGGGCUUAACCCCGGAUCUGCGGUGGGUACGGGCAGACUAGAGUGCAGUAGGGGAGACUGGAAUUCCUGGUGUAGCGGUGGAAUGCGCAGAUAUCAGGAGGAACACCGAUGGCGAAGGCAGGUCUCUGGGCUGUAACUGACGCUGAGGAGCGAAAGCAUGGGGAGCGAACAGGAUUAGAUACCCUGGUAGUCCAUGCCGUAAACGUUGGGCACUAGGUGUGGGGACCAUUCCACGGUUUCCGCGCCGCAGCUAACGCAUUAAGUGCCCCGCCUGGGGAGUACGGCCG